This 253-nucleotide ribosomal RNA is filed under the name uncultured bacterium. Its description in RNAcentral is "partial 16S ribosomal RNA". It matches the Rfam family "Bacterial small subunit ribosomal RNA", at positions 524 to 776 of the family's 1533-position model. The record is from RNAcentral.
UACGUAGGGUGCAAGCGUUGUCCGGAAUUAUUGGGCGUAAAGAGCUCGUAGGCGGUUUGUCGCGUCUGCUGUGAAAACCCGAGGCUCAACCUCGGGCCUGCAGUGGGUACGGGCAGACUAGAGUGCGGUAGGGGAGAUUGGAAUUCCUGGUGUAGCGGUGGAAUGCGCAGAUAUCAGGAGGAACACCGGUGGCGAAGGCGGGUCUCUGGGCCGGAACUGACGCUGAGGAGCGAAAGCGUGGGGAGCGAACAGG